Molecule: unclassified non-coding RNA, 253 nt
Filed under: uncultured Alphaproteobacteria bacterium
Lineage: Bacteria; Pseudomonadati; Pseudomonadota; Alphaproteobacteria
Description: contains 16S-23S intergenic spacer region
Rfam family: Bacterial small subunit ribosomal RNA
Source: RNAcentral
UACGGAGGGUGCAAGCGUUGUUCGGAAUUACUGGGCGUAAAGCGCGCGUAGGCGGACUGGUCAGUUGGGGGUGAAAUCCCGAGGCUCAACCUCGGAACUGCCUUCAAUACUGCCAGUCUUGAGUUCGAGAGAGGUGAGUGGAAUUCCUAGUGUAGAGGUGAAAUUCGUAGAUAUUAGGAAGAACACCAGUGGCGAAGGCGGCUCACUGGCUCGAUACUGACGCUGAGGCGCGAAAGCGUGGGGAGCAAACAGG